This 438-nucleotide unclassified non-coding RNA is filed under the name Homo sapiens (human). RNAcentral describes it as "novel transcript, antisense to MROH5 (ENSG00000282477.1)". The record is from RNAcentral. Lineage: Eukaryota; Metazoa; Chordata; Mammalia; Primates; Hominidae.
GUGCCCCUAACUGGGCUUUGUCCACCAGGAGCUGCGUGGUCUGGACAGGGUGGCCUCUUUUCUUUUUUGAGACAGGGUCUCACACUGUCACCCAGGCUGGAGUACAGUGGUGUGACCAUAGCUUACUGCAGCCUUGACCUCCCAGGCUCAAGCAAUCCUCCCAACAUAACCUCCUGAGUAGCUGGGUCUACAGCCAGUUCCGUCUUCUCCACUUGAUUGCGUGUUUGCAGUGAUUUCCUGAGUUAUCGGGAUGAAUGGUCAGAAAGCAGUGUGCCCACCAAUGGAUGUUUCCUGCCAUUGGGCCCCUUAGCAGUGACUUGGGUGCAAACCAGGGUGAUUUUUACAACUUUUAAACAAGUUUAAAGCAGCUUUGUUGGCUUUCUUAGCUGUUUGCUUUGAAAAUAUUAAAUUCAUUUUCAGCAAGUGAGUCAUUCAACA